RNAcentral lists this long non-coding RNA (1361 nucleotides) under Citrus maxima (pomelo). Its description in RNAcentral is "long non-coding RNA (CMAX_LNC002276)". Lineage: Eukaryota; Viridiplantae; Streptophyta; Magnoliopsida; Sapindales; Rutaceae. The record is from RNAcentral.
AAUUAAUAAAUCUACGACAAACAUAAAAAGUUAACAAACAAAAAAUCAAAAUAUGGCUCAAAGUAAGUUCAAUAACACAUAACAUGUUCAAAUAACAUUAACAUAGACAUAUUAGAACAAAAGAAGAUCAACAACACAACAGCAACAAAUCAACACAACGGCAGCAACGAAUAAAAAAUCUUGGGGAUUACAAUUUACAAAAUAAAAAAAUAUUAUGACAUUGCGGCACAACUCAAAUUUUUGAUCGUUUAUAUUGACACCCGUUUACUUCAUUAGUCUAGAUAAAAGUUUGAUUUUAUCUGUGUGCCGCUGGAAAGUUAAAACUUUAAAUAUGAUACAGCAAAAACGUAUACUAGUAGAUUUUGGAAACUCCUAUAUAUUAAAACAAAAAGUCAGUCAAGCACUUAAUAGGUUCUGGAAACACUCAUAUAUUAAAACUAAAAGUCAGUCGAGCCCGAGCACUAGGAUUAAAAGAUGAACGAGGUACAUUAAAAGAAUGAAGAAAUAAAAUGUAAUUUUUUUUAGCUCAAGAGAAGUUAUCGGGAAACCCCAGUUACACGACCACGUUUGGAGGGAAAAAAAAUGUAACAAAUUCAACAUAGAGUCAAUAGUUGACAAAAGAUAUUGGAGGCACUCAAUUAAUUACUGUUGAUAAAUAAAAGCAUAAUUCACCCAUUAAUCUUGUUUUGACCAAUUGAUUACGAAUGGAGCUUAAAAGUUUCUUAGAUAUAUUUCAUAAAUGUCUGCAUCAAUGAAAGCCCUAAUGCUCUACGUUUAUUUUUUUUUUUUUGCUUUUUUAAAAAUAAAACGUGAAGUGUGUGUGGUAGGGUGUUGCUUUCGUUUUUGUGGUGUAUUUAUCGGCCCUAUGAAGAACCAUUAAAUGAGAAAAAGAGCAAAAGAGAGUAAACCACCAAGUCAAACCCAGUACGAAUUCAAAACCACAUUCAGCAAAUGAUUUCAAAAACAGAACUUGCUUCUACCAAAUCAAACCCAGUACGAAUUCAAAACCACAUUCGUUUUCCAACACUUGCUCCCACCAAGUCAAACCCAGUAUGAGUUCUUGUCUGAUUACCUUUUCACGCCAGCAGCAGCUCAAGUUCUCUGCAAAAACAGAACAAACCAGAGAAAUGAUAGUAGGUGACAGCGGUAGGUGACAGUGGCAGCGGGGACGAGAGUCGGCGAUGAGCAGCGGUGGCAAAUCAGAUUCGUGAAGGAUGAGCAGCAGCAGCAGCGGGGACGAGAUUCCAGCGGUGAAGGGGCUGCGGCUUCGGUUUUCGGCUGAAGAGUGAAAAUAAGAAGAAUGUGUUAAAUUAGAGAUUGUUUAUUUGUUUUGGCAUUCGGUUUUUUCCUGUGGUCGGUUC